UACGGGGGGGGCAAGCGUUGUUCGGAAUUACUGGGCGUAAAGGGCUCGUAGGUGGCCAACUAAGUCAGACGUGAAAUCCCUCGGCUUAACCGGGGAACUGCGUCUGAUACUGGAUGGCUGGAGUUUGGGAGAGGGAUGCGGAAUUCCAGGUGUAGCGGUGAAAUGUGUUGAGAUCGGGAGGAACGCCGGUGGCGAAAGCGACAGACUGGGGCUUGGCCGACGCUCAGGCACGAAAGCCAGGGGAGCGAACGGG
This 253-nucleotide ribosomal RNA is filed under the name uncultured bacterium. Its description in RNAcentral is "partial 16S ribosomal RNA". It matches the Rfam family "Bacterial small subunit ribosomal RNA", at positions 524 to 776 of the family's 1533-position model. The record is from RNAcentral.